Molecule: transfer RNA, 83 nt
Filed under: Promicromonospora citrea
Lineage: Bacteria; Bacillati; Actinomycetota; Actinomycetes; Micrococcales; Promicromonosporaceae
Description: tRNA-Tyr
Rfam family: tRNA
About the family: Transfer RNA (tRNA) molecules are approximately 80 nucleotides in length. Their secondary structure includes four short double-helical elements and three loops (D, anti-codon, and T loops). Further hydrogen bonds mediate the characteristic L-shaped molecular structure. tRNAs have two regions of fundamental functional importance: the anti-codon, which is responsible for specific mRNA codon recognition, and the 3' end, to which the tRNAs corresponding amino acid is attached (by aminoacyl-tRNA synthetases). tRNAs cope with the degeneracy of the genetic code in two manners: having more than one tRNA (with a specific anti-codon) for a particular amino acid; and 'wobble' base-pairing, i.e. permitting non-standard base-pairing at the 3rd anti-codon position.
Source: RNAcentral
GGCUGGUUGCCCGAGCGGCCAAAGGGAUCUGACUGUAAAUCAGACGGCUUCGCCUUCGGGGGUUCGAAUCCCUCACCAGCCAC